AGAGUUUGAUCCUGGCUCAGAACGAACGCUGGCGGCGUGCUUAACACAUGCAAGUCGAACGUGAUUGAGAGCUUGCUCUCAUGAAAGUGGCGCACGGGUGAGUAACACGUGGAUAAUCUGCCUGGCGAUUCGGGAUAACACUUCGAAAGGGGUGCUAAUACCGGAUACGUUGGUCAAUAUGCAAGAUACGUUGGGUAAUCAGGAAAGGUGGCCUCUGAAUAUGCUACUGUACAGGGACGAGUCCGCGGCCCAUUAGCUAGUUGGCAGGGUAAUGGCCUACCAAGGCAACGAUGGGUAGCUGGUCUGAGAGGAUGAUCACCCACACUGGUACUGGGACACGGACCAGACUCCUACGGGAGGCAGCAGUGGGGAAUAUUGCGCAAUGGGGGAAACCCUGACGCAGCGACGCCGCGUGGAUGAUGAAGGCCUUCGGGUCGUAAAAUCCUGUCUUAAGGGACGAUUAUCAACUGGCUAAUAUCCAAUAUAUCUGUCGGUACCACUGAAGGAAGCAUCGGCUAACUCCGUGCCAGCAGCCGCGGUAAUACGGAGGGUGCAAGCGUUGUUCGGAAUUAUUGGGCGUAAAGGGUGCGUAGGCGGAUGGAAAAGUCAGAUGUGAAAGCCCUGGGCUCAACCUGGGAAGUGCAUUGGAUACUGGCAAACUUGAGUACGGGAGAGGAUAGUGGAAUUUCGAGUGUAGGAGUGAAAUCCGUAGAUAUUAGGAGGAACACCGGUGGCGAAGGCGGCUACCUGGACCGAUAUUGACGCUGAGACGCGAAAGCGUGGGGAGCAAACAGGAUUAGAUACCCUGGUAGUCCACGCCGUAAACGAUGAGAACUAGGUGUUGCGGGUAUUGACCCCUGCAGUAACGCAGCUAACGCAUUAAGUACCCCGCCUGGGGAGUACGGUCGCAAGACUAAAACUCAAAGGAAUUGACGGGGGCCCGCACAAGCGGUGGAGCAUGUGGUUUAAUUCGACGCAACGCGAAGAACCUUACCUGGGCUUGACAUCCCGGGAAUCUCCAGGAAACUCGAGAGUGCCUCGCAAGAGGAGCCUGGUGACAGGUGCUGCAUGGCUGUCGUCAGCUCGUGUCGUGAGAUGUUGGGUUAAGUCCCGCAACGAGCGCAACCCUUAUCUUUAGUUGCCAUCAUUAAGUUGGGCACUCUAAAGAGACUGCCGGUGUCAAACCGGAGGAAGGUGGGGAUGACGUCAAGUCCUCAUGGCCCUUAUGUCCAGGGCUACACACGUAUUACAAUGGCCGGUACAAAGGGAUGCUAUCCCGCGAGGGUGAGCUAAUCCCAAAAAGCCGUUCUCAGUUCGGAUCGGAGUCUGCAACUCGACUCCGUGAAGUUGGAAUCGCUAGUAAUCGUGGAUCGGCACGCCACGGUGAAUACGUUCCCGGGCCUUGUACACACCGCCCGUCAAGCCACGAAAGUUGGCUGUACCAGAAGUUGCCGGGCUAACCCGCAAGGGGGGCAGGUACCUAAGGUACGGUUGAUGAUUGGGGUGAAGUCGUAACAAGGUAACC
RNAcentral lists this ribosomal RNA (1525 nucleotides) under uncultured bacterium. RNAcentral's name for it is "bacterial SSU rRNA". It matches the Rfam family "Bacterial small subunit ribosomal RNA". The record is from RNAcentral.